GUAUGUCUGUGUGUGUGUGUCAGUAUGUCUGUGUGUAUGCCAGUAUGUCUGUGUGUGUGUGUGUGUGUGUGUGUGUCAGUAUGUCUGUGUGUAUGCCAGUAUGUCUGUGUGUGUGUGUAUGUAGGUAUGUCUCUGUGUGUGUGUGUACGUGUGUGUCAGUAUGUCUGCCAGGAUAUAUUUGUGUGUCAGUGUAUGUGUGUGUCAGUAUGUAUCUGUGAAUGUUUUAAUGUCUGUCUGUGUGU
This is a non-coding RNA of Pelobates cultripes (western spadefoot toad), 242 nucleotides long. The record is from the annotation of a GenBank genome assembly. NCBI's taxonomy places the organism in Eukaryota, Metazoa, Chordata, Amphibia, Anura, Pelobatidae.